This 1605-nucleotide ribosomal RNA is filed under the name uncultured bacterium. Its description in RNAcentral is "bacterial SSU rRNA". It matches the Rfam family "Bacterial small subunit ribosomal RNA". The record is from RNAcentral.
MMACGWWCGCUGGCGGCGUGGAUUAGGCAUGCAAGUCGAACGCGAAAGUAUUUCUUCGGAGAUACGAGUAGAGUGGCGGACGGGUGAGUAACGCGUAGGUAUCUGCCUUUAAGUGGGGGACAGCCCCGGGAAACCGGGAUUAAUACCGCAUGUGGAGCUACCAAUUAUGUAUUAUGUAUUUCGGUUAGCAAAUUCGUUAGAAUUUGCAACUAUUUUAAAUUAAUACUUCGAUUUGAGUAAGUAUUAGUUUAUGAUUAAGAGUGCAUAAUUGGUAGCUCUAAAGAUGGCCUCUGUUUCAAGCUAUCGCUUAAAGAUGAGCCUGCGUCCUAUUAGCUAGUUGGUAAGGUAAUGGCUUACCAAGGCGAUGAUAGGUAGGCGGCUUUAACGAGUGGUCGCCCACACUGGGAUUGAGAUACGGCCCAGACUCCUACGGGAGGCAGCAGUCGAGAAUAGUCUACAAUGGACGAAAGUCUGAUAGUGCGACGCCGCGUGGAUGAAGAAGCAUUUCGGUGUGUAAAAUCCUUUUCUUUGUGAGCAAUGACUUUAAGAUUAAUAGUUUUAGAGUAGAGAUAUUAGCAGAGGAAUAAGCUCCGGCUAACUCCGGCCAGCAGCCGCGGUAACACGGGGGGAGCAAGCGUUGUCCGGAAUUACUAGGCGUAAAGGGCAAGUAGGCGGAAUUGUAAGUCAGAUGUUAAAGGCACCGGCUCAACCGGUGUACGGCAUUUGAUACUGUGAUUCUAGAGUAAGGUGGGGGAAGAUGGAAUUCCUGGUGUAGCGGUGGAAUGCGCAGAUAUCAGGAAGAACACCAGAGGCGAAGGCGAUCUUCUAUACCAUUACUGACGCUAAAUUGCGAAGGUGUGGGUAUCAAACAGGAUUAGAUACCCUGGUAGUCCACACAGUAAACGAUAUACACUAGGUGUUGGGGGAGAUAAUCUUUCAGUGCCGUAGCUAACGCGUUAAGUGUAUCGCCUGGGGAGUACGAUCGCAAGGUUAAAACUCAAAGGAAUUGACGGGGGCCCGCACAAGCGGUGGAGCAUGUGGUUUAAUUCGAUGCAACGCGAAGAACCUUACCUGGGCUUUGACAUCCUGGGAAUCCUGUAGAGAUACGGGGGUGCCCCUUCGGGGGAACCCAGUGACAGGUGCUGCAUGGCUGUCGUCAGCUCGUGUCGUGAGAUGUUUGGUUAAGUCCAGCAACGAGCGCAACCCCUAUUGUUAGUUGCCAGCGCGUAAUGGCGGGGACUCUAGCAAGACUGCCAGUGUAAUAAACUGGAGGAAGGUGGGGACGACGUCAAGUCAUCAUGGUCCUUAUGUCCAGGGCUACACACGUGCUACAAUGGUCGGUACAGAGGGGCGCAAUACAGUGAUGUGGAGCUAAUCUCAGAAAGCCGAUCUCAGUUCGGAUUGGAGUCUGCAAUUCGACUCCAUGAAGUUGGAAUCGCUAGUAAUCGCGUGUCAGCGUAACGCGGUGAAUACGUUCCCGGGCCUUGUACACACCGCCCGUCAAGUCAGCCGAGUUGAUUGCACCCGAAGGAGGUGAGCUAACCGUAAGGAAGCAGCUUUCGAAGGUGUGAUUAGCAAGGGGGACUAAGUCGUAACAAGGUAACC